RNAcentral lists this ribosomal RNA (670 nucleotides) under uncultured Bacteroidota bacterium. RNAcentral describes it as "bacterial SSU rRNA". It matches the Rfam family "Bacterial small subunit ribosomal RNA", at positions 62 to 734 of the family's 1533-position model. Lineage: Bacteria; Pseudomonadati; Bacteroidota. The record is from RNAcentral.
UCGAGGGGUAUUGGUUUUCGGACCAGAGACCGGCGCACGGGUGCGUAGCGCGUAUGCAAUCUACCUUUUACAGAGGGAUAGCCCAGAGAAAUUUGGAUUAAUACCUCAUAGUAUUACGACUCGGCAUCGAGAUGUAAUUAAAGUCACAACGGUAAAAGAUGAGCAUGCGUCCCAUUAGCUAGAUGGUAAGGUAACGGCUUACCAUGGCAACGAUGGGUAGGGGUCCUGAGAGGGAGAUCCCCCACACUGGUACUGAGACACGGACCAGACUCCUACGGGAGGCAGCAGUGAGGAAUAUUGGUCAAUGGGCGCAAGCCUGAACCAGCCAUGCCGCGUGCAGGAUGAAGCAUCUAUGGUGUGUAAACUGCUUUUGUACGAGAAGAAACACUCCUACGUGUAGGAGCUUGACGGUAUCGUAAGAAUAAGGACCGGCUAACUCCGUGCCAGCAGCCGCGGUAAUACGGAGGGUCCAAGCGUUAUCCGGAAUCAUUGGGUUUAAAGGGUCCGUAGGCGGUUUAGUAAGUCAGUGGUGAAAGCCCAUCGCUCAACGGUGGAACGGCCAUUGAUACUGCUAGACUUGAAUUAUUAGGAAGUAACUAGAAUAUGUAGUGUAGCGGUGAAAUGCUUAGAGAUUACAUGGAAUACCAAUUGCGAAGGCAGGUUACUACUA